This 91-nucleotide non-coding RNA is filed under the name Thalassionema frauenfeldii. The record is from RNAcentral. Lineage: Eukaryota; Bacillariophyta; Fragilariophyceae; Thalassionematales; Thalassionemataceae.
CAGUAGAAUGAAAUAAUACAAUGUUGAAAAGUAGUAGGAUUGAUAGUGGUUGGAUAUUCAUUUUUUUUUUUUUCAUUCAUUUCAUUCAUUC